Heterocephalus glaber (naked mole-rat) is the source of this 759-nucleotide non-coding RNA. The record is from RefSeq and is a predicted model, not a curated record. Lineage: Eukaryota; Metazoa; Chordata; Mammalia; Rodentia; Bathyergidae.
AGCAUAGCAGCCUUUGUGACUGCAUUUAUCAUCCUGUCUCUGGCCACUGUUCUUCCACAGGAGUCCAGAGGGACUCUCAGAAAUGUUUGCAAUCCCUAGGCCUUUAAGAGUUAUUUGGGUCCUUUGUGACAUCACAUGCCCCUUGAAACUUGUUAUUUCUGUAAAGGAAGCUUCCUAGCAGCUUCUCUUGGGGCAACCAGGAGGGCUGAAGCUACAUCUCAGAGUUCCGAGGUUGAACCCCUGACUCCUGCUUCCUGGGAAGAUGAGGAUUUGGAAACAGAAUGUAGAAGAUUAAAUCAAGUCUUUAAAGUUGGACCUCGCCCACCCAGCCUGCUGGCAGGUGGCCAUGAGCCCAGAGGUGAGGGGCUGAGUGAGGCCACUGCAGAAGGCUGUCCUAUGAAGGCCAGCAGAGAACCAAACUGUGGACAGCUGGAUCUGGACCUGGUGGCCUGCAGAACCAGGAAUGUACAUUUCUGCAUAGUAAGCGACCCAGUCCAUGCUGUUUUGUUUUGGCUGCCUAGAAACUAAUAAAUUAAUCUUCUGUGAAACAAUUGCACUUGAGAGCAGUGAAACCUUAGAAGAAUAUGAAGUAGAAUGAUGGAACAAAAGAGGAGGCAGGGGCAGUAGUGCCUACCUCAGUAUACAGCUAUGUGGGAGGUGGAGGCAGGAGGAUCCCUUGAGCCCAGAACUUCCAGGCUGGUUUGAGCGUCAUAGGGAGACCCCAUCUCAAAAAAUGAAAUAAACAAAUGAAAGACAAAA